This is a long non-coding RNA of Oncorhynchus kisutch (coho salmon), 2573 nucleotides long. RefSeq lists it as uncharacterized. The record is from RefSeq and is a predicted model, not a curated record. Lineage: Eukaryota; Metazoa; Chordata; Actinopteri; Salmoniformes; Salmonidae. The transcript has 7 exons.
GAGAGAGAAAGUGAGUGAGAGAGUGAUUGAGCAAACGAGAGAGAAAGCGAGUUAGAGAGUGAGGGAGAGAGAGUGGUAGUGUGUGUGAUAUAUGUGGGGUGAGGUGAAUCUCUUGAUGAGCUGAUAUCAUGUCCACAGACACCAACACAAGCUGUGCUGUGGUAAUGUUAUGGUAAUGAUAUGGUAAUGCUAUGGUAAUCUGGUGGCAGUAUUCCACAUCACUAGAGAGAUGGGAAUUCUGGGAGGCCUUUCACCACUGGGUGGAGAGGAGGGACUUCCUGGUCUCAGAGUACACAGCAACAACAACACACACAAACACGCACGUGCGCACACACACACACACACACACACCAAAAUAAAUACACCAAAACAAAUACACGCACUUAUUCACACACACGCAAACACACAAACACAAUGGCUAAAAUAAGUACAUAUCCCCAUUUCAAUGGAUUAAAAAAACUAAUGUAAACAGUUUAGAGCAUGUAUUAAAAGUGCAGUGAAAUGCUUGCGUGCUAGCUCACUCAUAGGCUAACACUAAAUUGUAGAGCUUAUUCAUACCCACAUCUCAUAUAUGUUCCUGUCUGUCUGUCUGUCUGUCUGUCUGUCAGAGUUGCAGGAGAAGCAGAGUUAAGUUAUCCAGCCGUCGACAGGACACUUUGAAGACUGAAGACCAACUGGAUCAUGCCCUGACCUUCAACGACCCUCUCUGGCCCAUGCAGUGGGAACUGUUCAACCAUGGCCAAUACAGCUCCUGUCACUUUGACCUGAACGUGAUGCAAGUGUGGAGCAGGAACAGCACAGGGAAUGGAGUGGAGGUCAGCAUCAUCGAUGACGGUAUCGAUCUUCUGGACGGCACGGUGACGGACUCCGUGGAGGCCACAUCUCUGACCUUCAACAACGACUUCAUUGAUGUGUACGUGUGCUGCUGAGGCCCGCGGGACGACGGACAGGAAAUGGCCGGGGACACUCACACAGAUAGCACUGAGGCUGGGCAAGGGGCAAGGUAGGCAGCAUCUUUGUGUGGGCGUCUGGUAAUGGUGGGUUGGUGAACGAUCACUGUGGAGCAGACGGCUAUAUCAACAGUGUCUACAGCAUUGCCGUUGGGGCUGUCACUCACACGGGCAAGCCCGCCUUUUUAGGUGACCCCUGCCCUGCCGUUAUGGCUGUCACUCUAACUGGAGCCAGUUUGGGAAACACACUUCCCCUAGUGACAGUGUCCAAUCUAGGGGACGGUUGUGUCACCGACUUUGCGGGGACAUCCAGUGCUGCACCCAUCCCGGCUGGGAUUCCGGCCCUUGUCUUGGAGAACAAUCCUGACUUGACAUGGAGGGAUGUGCAGCAUCUGAUCGCCAUGACAGCCAAGGUCCCCGACCACAAAGAGCCAGGAUGGAGUGUCAACGGAGCAGGGGCUACAGUGGAGAGGGUCAAAAGUUUCACGUUCAUCUGAGUGCACAUCACUGAGGAUCUGAAAUGGUCCCUCCACACCAACACCCUGGCGAAGAAGGUGUAACAGCUUCUCUUCAACCUCAGGAGGCUGAGGAAAUUUGGCGUGGCCCCUAAGACUACAGAUGCACCAUUGAGAGCAUUCUGUCGGGCUGUUUCACCACCUGGUACGGCAACUGCAUCGCCCGCAACCGCAGAGCUCUCCAGAGGGGGGUGCAGUCAGCCUAAUGCAUCCUUGGGGGCACACUGCCUGCCCUCCAGGUCAUCUACAGCACCCGGUGUCACAGGCCAAAGAAAUAAUCAAGGAUCUCAGCCACUCGAUCCACGACCUGCUUACCCUGCUACCAUCUAGAAGGUGGAGACAGUACAGGUGCAUCAAAUCUGCACCUUAGACCCUGUUGCUAGCCGGCUACCACCCAGUACCCUGCCCUGCACCUUAGACACUGUUGCUAGCCGGCUACCACCCAGUACCCUGCCCUGCACCUUAGACCCUGUUGCUAGCCGGCUACCACCCGGUACACAACCCUGCACCUUAGACACUGUUGCUAGCCGGCUACCACCCGGUACACAACCCUGCACCUUAGAGGCUGCUGCCCUAUGUACAUAGAGUCAUUGAACACUGGUCACUUCAAUCAUGUUUACACAUCGUAUGUAGCUACUGCUGUACAUACUGUUUGUAUUUAAAUACUGUAAUCUCGAUUUAUCUCGUUCUAAUAUUUAUACUACCAUACAUAGGGUUUUAGUUACACUGUUUAUACACAUUGCAUAUUUAUUUAUUUAUAUACUAUAGCUCACUAUAGACAAAGCUAACUCUAAUAUAUCUACUGCUGUACAUAUCAUUCUUAGUAUACAUUGUGUAAAUAUCGUGUGUAUAUAUGUAUAGAUUGCAUUUGGAUUACUGUUACAGUGCUACUUGGGUUUUUGAUUGGAUGCGUUCCUACAUUUCUUGAUUUUGACAUUUUAUUUAAAACGUUAAAUAGUUGUAUUAUUUGUGUACUUGUUUGACGUUUUACUGCAUUGUUAAAAGCUAGCAACAUAAGUAUUUUGCUGCACCCGCUAUAACAUCUGUUAAACUGUUUACACGACCAAUAAACUUUGAUUUGAUUUUGAUUUGUGUGUGACACACAGCU